AGUGAACGCUGGCGGUAGGCCUAACACAUGCAAGUCGAACGGCAGCACAGUAAGAGCUUGCUCUUACGGGUGGCGAGUGGCGGACGGGUGAGGAAUACAUCGGAAUCUACUUUUUCGUGGGGGAUAACGUAGGGAAACUUACGCUAAUACCGCUUACGACCUACGGGUGAAAGCAGGGGAUCUUCGGACCUUGCGCGAUUGAAUGGGCCGAUGUCGGAUUAGCUAGUUGGCGGGGUAAAGGCCCACCAAGGCGACGAUCCGUAGCUGGUCUGAGAGGAUGAUCAGCCACACUGGAACUGAGACACGGUCCAGACUCCUACGGGAGGCAGCAGUGGGGAAUAUUGGACAAUGGGCGCAAGCCUGAUCCAGCCAUACCGCGUGGGUGAAGAAGGCCUUCGGGUUGUAAAGCCCUUUUGUUGGGAAAGAAAAGCAGCAGGUUAAUACCCCGCUGUUCUGACGGUACCCAAAGAAUAAGCACCGGCUAACUUCGUG
This 492-nucleotide ribosomal RNA is filed under the name uncultured bacterium. RNAcentral describes it as "partial 16S ribosomal RNA". It matches the Rfam family "Bacterial small subunit ribosomal RNA", at positions 29 to 507 of the family's 1533-position model. The record is from RNAcentral.